RNAcentral lists this ribosomal RNA (519 nucleotides) under uncultured soil bacterium. RNAcentral describes it as "bacterial SSU rRNA". It matches the Rfam family "Bacterial small subunit ribosomal RNA", at positions 55 to 598 of the family's 1533-position model. The record is from RNAcentral.
AUGCAAGUCGGACGCUCUUGGGGUUUCGGCCUCAAGGGAGUGGCGCACGGGUGAGUAGCGCGUGGGAACCUGCCCCUUUGUGGGGGAUAACCGAGGGAAACUUCGGCUAAUACCGCAUGCGCCCCUGGGGGAGACCUUGGGGGGAAAGAUUUAUCGCAGAGGGAGGGGCCCGCGUCGGAUUAGGUAGUUGGUGGGGUAACGGCCUACCAAGCCUGUGAUCCGUAGCUGGUCUGAGAGGAUGAUCAGCCACACUGGGACUGAGACACGGCCCAGACUCCUACGGGAGGCAGCAGUGGGGAAUAUUGGACAAUGGGCGCAAGCCUGAUCCAGCAAUGCCGCGUGAGUGAUGAAGGCCUUAGGGUUGUAAAGCUCUUUCGGCGGGGACGAUGAUGACGGUACCCGCAGAAGAAGCCCCGGCUAACUUCGUGCCAGCAGCCGCGGUAAUACGAAGGGGGCGAGCGUUGUUCGGAUUUACUGGGCGUAAAGGGCGCGUAGGCGGCGGCCCAAGUCGAGUGUGAA